Molecule: long non-coding RNA, 528 nt
Filed under: Mytilus galloprovincialis (Mediterranean mussel)
Lineage: Eukaryota; Metazoa; Mollusca; Bivalvia; Mytilida; Mytilidae
Source: RNAcentral
GGGGCAUGCUACGCCUAUGUUAUCCGAAUGUCAUCCAUAAAUAUUCGUAAAGUCCAAACAGUGUUGUAAAAGCAGUUUUCUCAAUAUAUUCAUUAUGCAUCACCACAACAUUGUAACAGCUAGUUAAAUACAUUGUUGAAAAUAAUUUAGCUCUACUUAAAGUACCAAACCAUUCCUCAACACAAAGUAAUGGGUAAGCAUCUUUGUAAGACGUGUGGUUCAUUUUUCUAAAGUCCACGCACAUGCGCAGUUAAUCUUUUUUCUUUCUUACUAGUAUGAUAGGUGAAGCGUAGGGACUAGUGCUUUCACAAAUAAUCUUUUUUUCAACUUACUUCUUUAUAUGUCGCAUGACCUCUUUAUACUGGUUAGGGAGAUUCCUCUGUAUAAUUAGUAGCAGUUACAAGACAUUCAAUAAGGGAGAACCCAGUGGUAAACAAACAAGAAAUAUGCACAAAAUCCCGGAAAGAUGAUGGUUAUGAAGGGGACAUGGCAAGACAGAUCAUAUGAAAAAGACCUUUUUAAUUUCAG